This 699-nucleotide long non-coding RNA is filed under the name Pongo abelii (Sumatran orangutan). RNAcentral describes it as "lincRNA". Lineage: Eukaryota; Metazoa; Chordata; Mammalia; Primates; Hominidae. The record is from RNAcentral.
AACUAAGCAAGGAGUGAGAGCUCUGUUGUUCUGUUGAUGGCGCUCAGUCUGUUCUUCCUCUUUUCCAACAAUCACACUUAUUUCCAGGAAAGAGAAAGCUCUACAUGGAUCCCUUGCAUGGGUGUUGUACAAUGGGAGCUUUCAUUCCUGCUUUGGCACCUGCAACCCUGGGUUAACAGUACCAUGGAGCGGAGAAAGCGUUUACCAAAGAGUGUGGUGCCGCGAUCCCACCCCGUGCAGCAGUUGAGCAGAGGUCAUCUUUAAGUAAAAGCCAUCUGAUAUUUUACUGCAAGCAUGUGGCGGUGAAGAAGACAAUGACUGCUAGUAUGGUUUGUGCCACUGCCUUGAUUUCCGCUCAGGCACCAGCAGUCUUACCCACCAUUGCUUUGGUGCAGUUGGUGGAGAUAUCAACAGAUCAAAAGCACAAGUAAUAUGAGAGGCCAGGAAUCAACCAAAAGAGCAAGAAAAGAAGCCACUACAGUAAUGAGCUUCGGCUGCCUGCCCCUCUUCCAGCCACAAAGGAAAAAAAAAAUGAGAAAGCUGCCUCUAUUCUACUUCUUUUCAAAGCUGCCCAACUGUUAAUAUUUUAGACUCAGCUCCCUAUGCCCACUAAAUACAAAUUUUCAGAACUGUGAUCACAGCCCUGGCCAAAUAGUGCUCCUGGUCAAACCUUUGUAGGUAAAAUGUUUUCUCCAGCUU